This 394-nucleotide ribosomal RNA is filed under the name uncultured bacterium. RNAcentral describes it as "bacterial SSU rRNA". It matches the Rfam family "Bacterial small subunit ribosomal RNA", at positions 28 to 424 of the family's 1533-position model. The record is from RNAcentral.
GACGAACGCUGGCGGCGUGCUUAACACAUGCAAGUCGAGCGGUAAGGCCCUUUCGGGGGUACACGAGCGGCGAACGGGUGAGUAACACGUGGGUGACCUGCCCUCAGCUCUGGGAUAAGCCUGGGAAACCGGGUCUAAUACUGGAUAUGACUCCAUGACGCAUGUUGUGGGGUGGAAAGCCUUGUGCGGCUGAGGAUGGGCCCGCGGCCUAUCAGCUUGUUGGUGGGGUGANGGCCUACCAAGGCGACGACGGGUAGCCGGCCUGAGAGGGCGACCGGCCACACUGGGACUGAGACACGGCCCAGACUCCGUACGGGAGGCAGCGAGUGGGGAAUCUUGCGCAAUGGGCGAAAGCCUGACGCAGCGACGCCGCGUGAGGGAUGACGGCCUGGUU